Molecule: ribosomal RNA, 439 nt
Filed under: uncultured bacterium
Lineage: Bacteria
Description: SSU rRNA
Rfam family: Bacterial small subunit ribosomal RNA
Source: RNAcentral
AGAACGAACGCUGGCGGCAGGCUUAACACAUGCAAGUCGAACGCCCCGCAAGGGGAGUGGCAGACGGGUGAGUAACGCGUGGGAACAUACCUUUCGGUUCGGAACAGACCCGGGAAACUGGGAUUAAUACCGGAUACGUCCUUCGGAGAAGAUUAUCGCCGAAGAUUGGCCGCGUCUGAUUAGCUAGUUGGUGAGGUAAUGGCUCACCAAGGCGACGAUCAGUAGCUGGUCUGAGAGGAUGAUCAGCCACAUUGGGACUGAGACACGGCCAAACUCCUACGGGAGGCAGCAGUGGGGAAUAUUGGACAAUGGGCGCAAGCCUGAUCCAGCCAUGCCGCGUGAGUGAUGAAGGCCCUAGGGUUGUAAAGCUCUUUUGUGCGGGAAGAGUAAUGACGGUACCGCAAGAAUAAGCCCCGGCUAACUUCGUGCCAGCAGCCGC